CCCAUACUCCUGGAAUGUCAAAUAAGGAUUCAUCACUCUUAGGGUUAAUACUUGUCACUAUGGAAUAGAAGCGUCAUUCUUCUUCCCUUGGCACCGAUAUCGCCAUUAUGCCUGGUAAUCCCUUAAACUUCAGAGAUGUUGAUCCAUUAGAUAAAAGGUUAUCUGAGCUUAAAGCUUCGAUAAUAGAUCUCGUCCUAAAAGUUGAAUCGGACACUCUGACAUAUAUAGGAACUAAUGCUUCACCACAUGGCCUCCCAGAAUACAAGUGCGACUCUUAAGAACCGGUCUAGCUGCACUUCUCCCAGUAGCUCCUAUCACAGUUAUAGUCUUCCCCGAAGGCGGAGCCACCAUCUUAGUCACCACAGAAUGUUCAGCACCUGUGUCGAUCAUGAAAGAACUUCUCUUUCCCCCUAUUGCUACAUCGACCAUAGGCUCCGCUCGACCAAGUGGGAUGGAGCCCGGUCGGUAUCAAUAGUCUUCCAUGAUAGUGUCAGCCAG
Molecule: non-coding RNA, 498 nt
Organism: Pelobates cultripes (western spadefoot toad)
Lineage: Eukaryota; Metazoa; Chordata; Amphibia; Anura; Pelobatidae
Source: the annotation of a GenBank genome assembly